GAUGAACGCUGGCGGCGUGCCUAAUACAUGCAAGUCGAGCGAACAGACGAGGAGCUUGCUCCUCUGACGUUAGCGGCGGACGGGUGAGUAACACGUGGAUAACCUACCUAUAAGACUGGGAUAACUUCGGGACACCGGAGCUAAUACCGGAUAAUAUAUUGAACCGCAUGGUUCAAUAGUGAAAGACGGUUUUGCUGUCACUUAUAGAUGGACCCCGGCCGUAUUAGCUAGUUGGUAAGGUAACGGCUUACCAAGGCGACGAUGCGUAGCCGACCGGAGAGGGGGAUCGGCCACACUGGAACUGAGACACGGUCAAGACUACUACGGGAGGCAGCAGUAGGGAAUCGUCCGCAAUGGGCGAAAGCCUGACGGAGCAACGCCGCGUGAGUGAUGAAGGUCUUCGGAUCGUAAAACUCUGUUAUUAGGGAAGAACAAAUGUGUAAGUAAAUAUGCACGUCUUGACGGUACCUAAUCAGAAAGCCACGGCUAACUACGUG
Molecule: ribosomal RNA, 497 nt
Filed under: uncultured bacterium
Lineage: Bacteria
Description: partial 16S ribosomal RNA
Rfam family: Bacterial small subunit ribosomal RNA
Source: RNAcentral